This 968-nucleotide long non-coding RNA is filed under the name Anas platyrhynchos (mallard). Its description in RNAcentral is "lncRNA (ENSAPLG00020011819.1)". Lineage: Eukaryota; Metazoa; Chordata; Aves; Anseriformes; Anatidae. The record is from RNAcentral.
ACCGGAGGAGAGCGAGCUCAGUCCCAGGAGGAUGCUGAAGGCAAGGAGGCGGCUCUCGGGUGCUGUGCCAGGGCAGUGAUGGUGCUCCCAUGCAGGACUCCUCGGCUGCGGGGGAUCCUCUGCUCUCCGUGCUCAGCCGGCUGCGAGGCUUCCAAGUUUUGUUCAGUUAUUCCUGAGUUUGGAAGAUAAAGAGUAGGUAGACCAAGACAAUGACUCAGAGAUGGAUUAGAAGAACAAACUGGAUUGCUAAGUCUUUGGGGGAAGAAGACUGUAUGUUCCUGGGCUUGUAUAGAAACCAGGAGACGUGUGCCAUAAUUCCGGUGUAAGAAAUAAGAAGCAAGGUCUUCCCACCCACUGCGUUGAACCAGACUGCCCAAACCCAGCAGCGUGUUUGUCUUGGAGCAAUGCAGGGCUCAAUACAAAUGUUACUUGACCUAGAAAAAGAGGGCUCACAAGGAAAAGGAGAAGCCUUUCAAUAUUUUGAUGAGUUCCUGCCAUCCAAACUCACCAAGGUAACUGUGCUGAAGAACAAAUGCUGUUCUGAUGGAGACUCAGUGGAAACAGACCUAAAGAUUUCACAUUUUUUCUUGAUAUUAUUGUGCUUCUGAAAAAGUGAAUUGUUAAAGGACCCCCUCCUGCUUCUCCAGCCAAAUGUCUGCUCCUGCCUGCUUGGAGGCUGCUCUGCAGCAAGGAAACAAUUGGAUGGGAAGCACUACACACCGAGGUGCUGCAAAUAGGCAAUGCUGCUUCUCAGCACCUCAAAUUGGUUUUGUCAUGUACGAUCAUAACACAAGCUGGAUACUGAAACAUUGUGAUUCAAUAAUUUGAGCUCUUGUCUGAAUUGGCACAAAUAAUGCUAAACACUUUUCAUGAAAUCUACUUUAAUGAUGGAAAUAUUGCUGAUUUUUGGUGCAAAGGUACAUCUGUUUUAUUUACAAUGCCCAAAGUUAACUUUACUUAUUAGCUGC